GGGCCCGCACAAGCGGUGGAGCAUGUGGUUUAAUUCGAUGAUACGCGAGGAACCUUACCAGGGCUUAAAUGUAGUGGGACAGGUCUAGAGAUAGACCCUUCUUCGGACUCAUUACAAGGUGCUGCAUGGUUGUCGUCAGCUCGUGCCGUGAGGUGUUAGGUUAAGUCCUGCAACGAGCGCAACCCCUAUUCUUAGUUGCCAGCGGUUCGGCCGGGGACUCUAAGAAGACUGCCAGCGCAAGCUGAGAGGAAGGUGGGGAUGACGUCAAAUCAUCACGGCCCUUACGUCCUGGGCUACACACGUGCUACAAUGGCGGUGACAGUGGGAAGCAAUAGGGCGACCUGGAGCA
This 349-nucleotide ribosomal RNA is filed under the name uncultured bacterium. Its description in RNAcentral is "bacterial SSU rRNA". It matches the Rfam family "Bacterial small subunit ribosomal RNA", at positions 917 to 1269 of the family's 1533-position model. The record is from RNAcentral.